RNAcentral lists this ribosomal RNA (406 nucleotides) under uncultured Bicosoecida. RNAcentral describes it as "partial small subunit ribosomal RNA". It matches the Rfam family "Eukaryotic small subunit ribosomal RNA", at positions 30 to 432 of the family's 1831-position model. The record is from RNAcentral. Lineage: Eukaryota; Bigyra; Bicosoecida.
GCUUGUCUCAAAGAUUAAGCCAUGCAUGUCUCAGUAUAAGUUCCUGUACGGCGAAACUGCGAAUGGCUCAUUAAAACAGUUACAGUUUAUUUGAUGGUCGUUCCUUACAUGGAUAACUGUGGUAAUUCUAGAGCUAAUACAUGCGCAAAUUCCCGACUGUCGCAAGGCGGAAAGGAUGUAUUUAUUAGAUCCAACCAGCCCGGUUCGCCGGAGUCCCUGGUGAGUCAUAAUAACUGAGCGAAUCGCAUGGCCUUGUGCCGGCGAUGGUUCAUUCAAGUUUCUGCCCUAUCAGCUUUCGAUGGUAGGGUAUUGGCCUACCAUGGCGUUAACGGGUAACGGAGAAUUAGGGUUCGAUUCCGGAGAGGGAGCCUGAGAAACGGCUACCACAUCCAAGGAAGGCAGCAGG